GAUGAACGCUGGCGGCGUGCCUAAUACAUGCAAGUCGAGCGAAUGGAUUAAGAGCUUGCUCUUAUGAAGUUAGCGGCGGACGGGUGAGUAACACGUGGGUAACCCGCCCAUAAGACUAGGAUAACUCCGGGAAACCGGGGCUAAUACCGGAUAACAUUUUGAACCGCAUGGUUCGAAAUUGAAAGGCGGCUUCGGCUGUCACUUAUGGAUGGACCCGGGUCGCAUUAGCUAGUUGGUGAGGUAACGGCUCACCAAGGCAACGAUGCGUAGCCGACCUGAGAGGGUGACCGGCCACACUGGGACUGAGACACGGCCCAAACUCCUACGGGAGGCAGCAGUAGGGAAUCUUCCGCAAUGGACGAAAGUCUGACGGAGCAACGCCGCGUGAGUGAUGAAGGCUUUCGGGUCGUAAAACUCUGUUGUUAGGGAAGAACAAGUGCUAGUUGAAUAAGCUGACACCUUGACGGUACCUAACCAGAAAGCCACGGCUAACUACGUGCCAGCAGCCGCAGUAA
RNAcentral lists this ribosomal RNA (515 nucleotides) under uncultured bacterium. Its description in RNAcentral is "partial 16S ribosomal RNA". It matches the Rfam family "Bacterial small subunit ribosomal RNA", at positions 28 to 523 of the family's 1533-position model. The record is from RNAcentral.